This 114-nucleotide ribosomal RNA is filed under the name Sorex araneus (European shrew). The record is from RNAcentral. Lineage: Eukaryota; Metazoa; Chordata; Mammalia; Eulipotyphla; Soricidae.
GUCUAUGGUCAUACCACCCAGAAGGCUCCUGAUCUCCUCUGAGCUCAGAAGCUAAGCAGCGUUGGACCUGGUUAGUACUUGGAUAAGAGAACAACAGAGCACUCACCUUGCACA